GAUGAACGCUGGCGGCGUGCCUAAUACAUGCAAGUCGAGCGGUAAGGCCCUUCGGGGUACACGAGCGGCGGACGGCUGAGUAACACGUAGGAACGUACCCCAAACUGAGGGAUAAGCACCAGAAAUGGUGUCUAAUACCGCAUGUGGCCUUCGGGCUAUAGCUCCGGCGGUUUGGGAACGGCCUGCGUCCGAUUAGCAAGUUGGUAGUGUAAUGGACUACCAAGGCGACGAUCGGUAGCUGGUCUGAGAGGAUGAUCAGCCAGACUGGGACUGAGACACGGCCCAGACUACUACGGGAGGCAGCAGUAGGGAAUUUUCCACAAUGGGGGCAACCCUGAUGGAGCAACGCCGCGUGCAGGAUGAAGGCCUUCGGGUUGUAAACUGCUUUUAUCUGUGACGAUUAUGACGGUAGCAGAUGAAUAAGGACCUGCUAACUACGUGCCAGCAGCCGCCGUAA
RNAcentral lists this ribosomal RNA (457 nucleotides) under uncultured bacterium. Its description in RNAcentral is "partial 16S ribosomal RNA". It matches the Rfam family "Bacterial small subunit ribosomal RNA", at positions 28 to 523 of the family's 1533-position model. The record is from RNAcentral.